CAGUCAUCCUUGACUGAAGUGCAGUAUUUAUCCACAGAGCAGGUACGGCACAGGCAGCAUCGGAGAAUGCUUCUUCCAUUCCCUGUCACGUGCACGAGUCAUUGAUGUGCCUCUGGCUCUGCAAGUGCCAUCUGUAUAAGCAAGAGGGGGUGCCAUUCCCAGUCUUAGUGUUACUCUUAAAAGAUAUU
This 188-nucleotide small RNA is filed under the name Crocodylus porosus (Australian saltwater crocodile). RNAcentral's name for it is "TUC338 (ENSCPRG00005002789.1)". The record is from RNAcentral. Lineage: Eukaryota; Metazoa; Chordata; Crocodylia; Crocodylidae.